This 882-nucleotide ribosomal RNA is filed under the name Triticum aestivum (bread wheat). Its description in RNAcentral is "partial small subunit ribosomal RNA". Lineage: Eukaryota; Viridiplantae; Streptophyta; Magnoliopsida; Poales; Poaceae. The record is from RNAcentral.
AUGACGGAGAAGGAGGUGGGACGGAUCUUCGUGGGCGGACUGUCCUGGGACACCACGGAGCGCACGCUGGAGCGAGCUUUCGGCGAGUUCGGCAAGGUCAUCGAGACGCAGGUUGUAACAGAAAGAGACACAGGCCGCUCCCGUGGGUUUGGGUUUGUUACAUUCUCGGAACCUCGGGCUGUGGAUGUUGCGAUCCGGGAAAUGCACAAUGGAGAACUAGAUGGUCGGACCAUUUCUGUGAACAAAGCUCAACCUAGGAUGAACAGUGAUGAUGGUGGCUAUGGAUAUGGGGGUAGUAGUUACUCAUCUGGUGCUAGAGGUGGAUAUCGUGGUGCAGCUGACAUAGUACCCACUGCAAGUGAUGAUUGCUUUAAGUGUGGACGCCCUGGACACUGGGCUCGUGAAUGUCUUUAUUCUGAUGGAGGCAGGCCUGGAAGGUACUCUCCCCCUUCCAGGUAUGGCAAUGGCGCUGGUGGGCGUGGUGACCGCUUUGGAGGAUCAGACCGUUUUGGUAAUCGCUAUGUUGAUGAUCGUUAUGAUGGUGGCCGCUAUGCUGAUGAUCGUUAUGGUGGUGGACGCGAUCGCUAUCCUCCAGCUGCUGAUCGUUUUUCUGGCGAUAGAUAUGGUGGUGGUGAUCGUUAUGCAUCAGGUGGCUUUGCCAGGGAAAGAAGCUAUGAGAGAGAUGGAGGGCGGCCAGGUGGAAGUUAUUACCGUGAUGAACCUAGAGGCACUGGUGCUUAUGGCAGGGGUGGUCCACGUGUGGCGAAUGGUGACAGAUAUGGGAGUGGUGGACCUGCUCGCCUUGGCGCGAGUUACCGAGAUAGGCCUGCUCCCUAUGAUCGUCCCACUCAGGGUGCUCGCUCAUAUGAUGACCGCUACUGA